CUAGUGCCCGGGCCUCCGACUCUGGGAGGUACUCCUGCGUGGCUGUGAGCGCGGUGGGCGAGGACCGCCAGGAUGUUGUCCUGCAAGUCCACAUGGUCACUCCUGGCUGCUGCGAGUAGCUAGGCCUGACCCAGGGUGUGGCCCCUCCUUGCCAGCCCCACCCAUGUGCCUGAGGGAGCCCUUCUCCUGCCCCCUCCUGCAGUGCCCCCGAGUAUCCUUGGAGAAGAGCUGAAUGUGUCCGUUGUGGCCAAUGAGUCAGUGGCCCUGGAGUGCCAGAGCCACGCCAUGCCCCCUCCUGUGCUGAGCUGGUGGAAGGACGGGCGGCCCCUGGAACCACGGCCUGGAGUCCACCUCUCCGCAGACAAAGCCUUGCUGCAGGUGUGCAGGCCCCUGGCCAGCCAAGCAGGCCUCCACCUCGGCCCAAGGGCAGGGUGGGGCCUGCAGGUGCCCCAGCUCAGUGACCUGCAAGCCCCUUUCCCC
RNAcentral lists this long non-coding RNA (480 nucleotides) under Homo sapiens (human). RNAcentral's name for it is "HSALNT0156108". Lineage: Eukaryota; Metazoa; Chordata; Mammalia; Primates; Hominidae. The record is from RNAcentral.